GCUGGCGGCAUGCUUAACACAUGCAAGUCGAACGGUAGCACAGAGAGCUUGCUCUCGGGUGACGAGUGGCGGACGGGUGAGUAAUGUCUGGGAAACUGCCUGAUGGAGGGGGAUAACUACUGGAAACGGUAGCUAAUACCGCAUAACGUCGCAAGACCAAAGAGGGGGACCUUCGGGCCUCUUGCCAUCAGAUGUGCCCAGAUGGGAUUAGCUAGUAGGUGGGGUAACGGCUCACCUAGGCGACGAUCCCUAGCUGGUCUGAGAGGAUGACCAGCCACACUGGAACUGAGACACGGUCCAGACUCCUACGGGAGGCAGCAGUGGGGAAUAUUGCACAAUGGGCGCAAGCCUGAUGCGGCCAUGCCGCGUGUAUGAAGAAGGCCUUCGGGUUGUAAAGUACUUUCAGCGGGGAGGAAGGUGUUGUGGUUAAUAACCACAGCAAUUGACGUUAUCCGCAGAAGAAGCACCGGCUAACUCCGUGCCAGCAGCCGCGGUAAUACGGAGGGUGCAAGCGUUAAUCGGAAUUACUGGGCGUAAAGCGCACGCAGGCGGUCUGUCAAGUCGGAUGUGAAAUCCCCGGGCUCAACCUGGGAACUGCAUUCGAAACUGGCAGGCUGGAGUCUUGUAGAGGGGGGUAGAAUUCCAGGUGUAGCGGUGAAAUGCGUAGAGAUCUGGAGGAAUACCGGUGGCGAAGGCGGCCCCCUGGACAAAGACUGACGCUCAGGUGCGAAAGCGUGGGGGAGCAAACAGGAUUAGAUACCCUGGUAGUCCACGCCGUAAACGAUGUCGAUUUGGAGGUUGUGCCCUUGAGGCGUGGCUUUCGGGAGCUAACGCGUUAAAUCGACCCGCCUGGGAAGUACGGCCGCAAGGUUAAAAUUCAAAUGAAUUGACGGGGGCCCGCACAAGCGGUGGAGCAUGUGGUUAAUUCGAUGCAACGCGAAAAACCUUACCUGGACUUGAACAUCCACAGAACUUUCCAGAGAUGGAUUGUGGCCUCCGGAAAUGUGAGACAGUGCUGCAUUGCUUGUCGUCGCUCGUGUUGUGAA
Molecule: ribosomal RNA, 1046 nt
Filed under: Enterobacter cloacae
Lineage: Bacteria; Pseudomonadati; Pseudomonadota; Gammaproteobacteria; Enterobacterales; Enterobacteriaceae
Description: bacterial SSU rRNA
Rfam family: Bacterial small subunit ribosomal RNA
Source: RNAcentral